UGGCGGACGGGUGAGUAACACGUUGGUACCUGCCCCAAAGUGGGGAAUAACUGGCCGAAAGGUCAGCUAAUACCGCAUGUGAUCCUUACGGAUUAAAGCAGCAAUGCGCUUUGGGAGGGGCCUGCGUCUGAUUAGCUAGUUGGUAGGGUAACGGCCUACCAAGGCGACGAUCAGUAGCUGGUUCGAGAGGAUGACCAGCCACACUGGGACUGAGAUACGGCCCAG
Molecule: ribosomal RNA, 225 nt
Filed under: uncultured bacterium
Lineage: Bacteria
Description: partial 16S ribosomal RNA
Rfam family: Bacterial small subunit ribosomal RNA
Source: RNAcentral